Molecule: long non-coding RNA, 1940 nt
Organism: Lytechinus pictus (painted urchin)
Lineage: Eukaryota; Metazoa; Echinodermata; Echinoidea; Temnopleuroida; Toxopneustidae
Exons: 2
Source: RefSeq, a predicted model, not a curated record
GGUCUGCCUGAAGUCACAGUUCAUCUUAAAUGGAGUAUGUGUAAUAUGGAGGGGUUAUAUUGAUCUCAACAGGCUUGAUGGUGUCGGUCAUGUUGAAUUUGAUUCUCAUAGAGCGAAGGAAGAAGAUGAAAUAUACCGCGCCACAAUGGAACAGCAAAACAGGAGACUUCGGGAGUUUGAGGAGAGAACGAUGUUACAUCGAAAAGAAUUUGAACAACAAGUUGGAAGAGAGGUGAGCACGUGAGAUUGUCCCAACAUAAAUAUCACUUUGCAAUGCCAUAGAAUAUUCCUUGUGUUAAAAUAUCGGACUUUGUCAUGGACUUGGCGCGCCGAGGGAGGGAGAGAGUGAUGAUGAGGGUUCACCUUUGUUCGCGCCACUGCUACAAAGUGUCUUCUGAAAUGAUUGUAUUUUUGAUAAGUUUCUCGUCCAGAUUUUGCGAUUUUAUUUCGUCUUUUCAGAAGAGUGCCAGGGAGGAAUGGAGUGUUGGAUGUCGUUGGUUUUUUUCCCCAACUGAAAGAACUAUUUUUGUCUGUGUAUUUAUGUAUAUUUAUAGAUAAAAACAACUUUGAAAUGUUAUGACGGUUGAUGUAUAUAAAGGGAUAAUUUAUUUAAGUUACAAAAUAAUGUAUGAAAGAAACUGUUUUUUUAAUGUAGGUAUUUAGAGUUAGAAUAGAAUAUUUCUUUUUUGUGUAGCAGAACCAACAGUGAAGUGGCGAUAUUUGUGCAAAUUGGUUGGAUUAUUUAGUAUUACUAUUGAUAUUUUGUCGGCAAUAAGACAAAAAGUACAUUCUUAAAUAAAACAUUGGUCAAAAUAAUUCACAUAUCGGUGAAUACGUGUCCGACAAAAAAGAAUAACUUGUCCAAAUCAACCAAAUUAUUUCUUGAAAAUUUACCGAACCAUGGUUCAUGUUUAGACAUUUUCACCAACAAAUUGGUUAUUUGGACUAUUUUUGAAGGGUGUAAAUGUGAAGCAUGUUUGCAUGAAGAAGGCACACCGUUAGUUUAUGCAAUACUACAAACAUUAAACUUUAUUUUGACAUUUCACCAGUUAGUAGUAUCGAUUGCUAGUUACAUGUUCUUUCGCACAUUGUGGAAAUUGACCAUGAAGUAUAUAGUUGAUUAAAUCUGAUACUGUAUCAUGUUCUGUAUAUAACUCAAUUUCUUCUGGAAGAAAUUUCAACAUUAUUUUAAUAUUUGUACUGAAUACAUUUAAUGUGUAUAUUUGAAAUUUCCAUUGUGUUUUUUUAUUGCUGAUAAAGAUAUCUAAUUUCUUGUUUUUUUGACCAAGUCAAAAAGUUGACUUAUUGUUUGAUUAUUUCAUACAAAGAUAAGAAUAAAACAGAAAAUAUUUUAUGCUUUUUUAUGGAAAACCCCACUUACCUGAUUAUGUUUCUAACCGUAUUGAUCUUAAGAAAAAUAUAAAAAAUUUGUAUAAUUUUACUUUGAUAUCCUUAUUUCUGUUUAGAAAGAAUUAAUUCCGCCUCAAUUUGAAUUAGAUUUUAUUUUACGUCCUUAUCUGAAAUAAGUAUUUAACUUCAAUUGUAAAAACAACUAUGAACGUAAGUGGUUCGGAAACGUUCAUGAUAACUAAUAUUAAUGAUAUAUGCAAAUGUUUUCAAAAAAUCUAUUCGAAUUGAGAUGUGAUUAAUUGGCUUAAGAUACUGAAAUUUAGUAAAUAACCUAGCUGAAAUUCCCCAUGUUAACGUGGAAUAAUGGUCAUGAAAGAGAUAUCCAUUGGAUAUGUAUGUUGUUGUGAUGCUGGACAUGAUCUUAAGAAGAAUGCAAGUGAAAUUCGUACCCAUUUUUGUUAUUCAAGGGCAGAUCUUUUGUCAAUAUACCAGUCUUCCCAUUUUUAUGUGUAAUUUUUCUUCGACGAAAUGAAAGAGAAGUAUGUGUGAAAUAAAUUAUGUACAAACUACAUUUCUUUUCAUAACGUGAA